GCAAGAGUGGUGUGAUCUUCUGCCUGAGCCAGCUGGGUGCCCCACAUUAUCACAAACUUCUACCUUGCUGCAGAGUAUGGGCCCUGGGAUGUAACAGAAGUAGAGGCAAAUCCAAUUGUACAGCAGGUGAAACGGCUGUCCCAAGCGUAGACACAUUCUCCCUUGUCAUGAGAAGGUGCCAAGCCAAGGAUGAAAGCUGUUUAGGAUUUUGCAGCCUACUGGGGUCACCGUUUUCAGACAUCUAUUAGUGCCAUAUUGUAGUCGCAUGAGAGGCUCAGUUAAUAAAGAUUUCUGGGGGCGCCUGGGUGGCGCAGUCGGUUAAGCGUCCGACUUCAGCCAGGUCACGAUCUCGCGGUCCGGGAG
This is a long non-coding RNA of Prionailurus viverrinus (fishing cat), 363 nucleotides long. RefSeq lists it as uncharacterized. The transcript is spliced from 3 exons. The record is from RefSeq and is a predicted model, not a curated record. Lineage: Eukaryota; Metazoa; Chordata; Mammalia; Carnivora; Felidae.